RNAcentral lists this ribosomal RNA (168 nucleotides) under Triticum aestivum (bread wheat). RNAcentral's name for it is "partial small subunit ribosomal RNA". The record is from RNAcentral. Lineage: Eukaryota; Viridiplantae; Streptophyta; Magnoliopsida; Poales; Poaceae.
AUGGCUACACAAACCAUUGAAGAUAGUUUUAAACCUAGGCCAAAACGAACUGGUGCAGGUAGUUUACUGAAACUCUUGAAUUCGGAAUAUGAGAAAGUCGCCCCGGGUUGGGGGGGUACUCCUUUUAUGGGGGUCGCAAUGGCUACAUAUCUCACUGGUUUGGCGUAA